Molecule: ribosomal RNA, 345 nt
Filed under: Lysobacteraceae bacterium
Lineage: Bacteria; Pseudomonadati; Pseudomonadota; Gammaproteobacteria; Lysobacterales; Lysobacteraceae
Description: bacterial SSU rRNA
Rfam family: Bacterial small subunit ribosomal RNA
Source: RNAcentral
UAAGUGAAGAGUUUGAUCCUGGCUCAGAGUGAACGCUGGCGGCAGGCCUAACACAUGCAAGUCGAACGGCAGCACAGGGGAGCUUGCUCCCCGGGUGGCGAGUGGCGGACGGGUGAGGAAUACAUCGGAAUCUGCCCAGUCGUGGGGGAUAACCUCGGGAAACCGGGACUAAUACCGCAUACGACCUUCGGGUGAAAGCAGGGGAUCGAAAGACCUUGCGCGAUUGGAUGAGCCGAUGUCGGAUUAGCUAGUUGGCGGGGUAAAGGCCCACCAAGGCGACGAUCCGUAGCUGGUCUGAGAGGAUGAUCAGCCACACUGGAACUGAGACACGGUCCAGACUCCUAC